RNAcentral lists this non-coding RNA (561 nucleotides) under Lachnospiraceae bacterium A4. RNAcentral's name for it is "Bacterial large subunit ribosomal RNA". It matches the Rfam family "Bacterial large subunit ribosomal RNA", at positions 15 to 565 of the family's 2925-position model. Lineage: Bacteria; Bacillati; Bacillota; Clostridia; Lachnospirales; Lachnospiraceae. The record is from Rfam by way of RNAcentral.
GAGCGCAGGGUGGAUGCCUUGGCACUGAGAGCCGAUGAAAGACGUGAUAAGCUGCGAUAAGCUGCGGCAAGGAGCAAAUAUCCCAUGACCCGCAGAUCUCUGAAUGGGGAAACCCACAUGAGCAAUCCUCAUGUACCGUAUACUGAAUAAAGAGUUAAAACUCUGAAUAGGUAUGCGGAGGGAACCCGGUGAACUGAAACAUCUAAGUAGCCGGAGGAAAAGAAAGAAACUAUUCGAUAUCCUUAGUAGCGGCGAGCGAAAAGGACAGAGCCCAAACCAGUGUGCGUGCACAUUGGGGUUCGGACUGCAUAAUUGACCUCUAACUGUUAGCAGAACGGUCCUGGAAAGACCGGCCAGAGAUGGUGAAAGCCCAGUAAGCGAAAACAGAAGGAGCAUGGCAGGAUCCAGAGUACCACGAGACACGUGAAACCUUGUGGGAAUGAGCGGGGACCACCCCGUAAGGCUAAAUACUACUCAGUGACCGAUAGCGCAUAGUACUGUGAAGGAAAGGUGAAAAGAACCCCGGGAGGGGAGUGAAAGAGAACCUGAAACCCUGUGUUU